Molecule: ribosomal RNA, 292 nt
Filed under: uncultured bacterium
Lineage: Bacteria
Description: partial 16S ribosomal RNA
Rfam family: Bacterial small subunit ribosomal RNA
Source: RNAcentral
GUGCCAGCCGCCGCGGUAAGACGAACCGUGCAAACGUUAUUCGGAAUCACUGGGCUUAAAGAGUCCGUAGGCGGCGCGUUAGGUGGGGUGUGAAAUCCCUCGGCUCAACCGAGGAAUUGCGCUCCAAACCGGCGUGCUUGAGGAAGGUAGAGGUGAGCGGAACUGAUGGUGGAGCGGUGAAAUGCGUUGAUAUCAUCAGGAACACCGGAGGCGAAGGCGGCUCACUGGGCCUUAUCUGACGCUGAGGGACGAAAGCUAGGGUAGCGAACGGGAUUAGAUACCCGCGUAGUCC